Molecule: ribosomal RNA, 314 nt
Filed under: uncultured eukaryote
Lineage: Eukaryota
Description: partial 18S ribosomal RNA
Rfam family: Eukaryotic small subunit ribosomal RNA
Source: RNAcentral
CCCUUAGAUGUUCUGGGCCGCACGCGCGUUACACUGAUGCAUUCAACGAGUUCUUCCUUGGCCGAGAGGCCUGGGCAAUCUUUUGAACGUGCAUCGUGAUAGGGAUAGAUUAUUGCAAUUAUUAAUCUUGAACGAGGAAUUCCUAGUAAACGCAGUUCAUCAAACUGCAUUGAUUACGUCCCUGCCCUUUGUACACACCGCCCGUCGCACCUACCGAUUGAAUGGUCCGGUGAAGCCUCCGGAUUGGCGCGCACCUCGGUGCCGCCGAGAAGUUGGCUAAACCUUACCAUUUAGAGGAAGGUGAAGUCGUANCA